AAUCAACGCUGGCGGCGUGCCUAACACAUGCAAGUCGAACGAGAAAGUCCCGCAAGGGAUGAGUAAAGUGGCGUACGGGUGAGUAACACGUGGAUAACCUACCUUUGAGCGGGGAAUAACCCUGGGAAACCGGGGAUAAUACCGCAUAAUAUCCUGGGACGAUGGUCUUGGAAUUGAAACUCGAAAGAGACUCGAAGAGGGGUCCGCGGCUGAUUAGCUAGUUGGUGAGGUAAUGGCCCACCAAGGCUAUGAUCGGUAGCCGGCCUGAGAGGGCGGACGGCCACACUGGAACUGAAACACGGUCCAGACUCCUACGGGAGGCAGCAGUGGGGAAUUUUGCACAAUGGCCUAACGGCUGACGCAGCGACGCCGCGUGAGGGAUGACGCUCUUC
This 392-nucleotide ribosomal RNA is filed under the name uncultured bacterium. Its description in RNAcentral is "bacterial SSU rRNA". It matches the Rfam family "Bacterial small subunit ribosomal RNA", at positions 32 to 419 of the family's 1533-position model. The record is from RNAcentral.